RNAcentral lists this ribosomal RNA (747 nucleotides) under Acinetobacter baumannii. Its description in RNAcentral is "bacterial SSU rRNA". It matches the Rfam family "Bacterial small subunit ribosomal RNA", at positions 304 to 1042 of the family's 1533-position model. The record is from RNAcentral. Lineage: Bacteria; Pseudomonadati; Pseudomonadota; Gammaproteobacteria; Moraxellales; Moraxellaceae.
UCCGCCACACUGGGACUGAGACACGGCCCAGACUCCUACGGGAGGCAGCAGUGGGGAAUAUUGGACAAUGGGCGGAAGCCUGAUCCAGCCAUGCCGCGUGUGUGAAGAAGGCCUUAUGGUUGUAAAGCACUUUAAGCGAGGAGGAGGCUACCUAGAUUAAUACUCUAGGAUAGUGGACGUUACUCGCAGAAUAAGCACCGGCUAACUCUGUGCCAGCAGCCGCGGUAAUACAGAGGGUGCGAGCGUUAAUCGGAUUUACUGGGCGUAAAGCGUGCGUAGGCGGCUUUUUAAGUCGGAUGUGAAAUCCCCGAGCUUAACUUGGGAAUUGCAUUCGAUACUGGGAAGCUAGAGUAUGGGAGAGGAUGGUAGAAUUCCAGGUGUAGCGGUGAAAUGCGUAGAGAUCUGGAGGAAUACCGAUGGCGAAGGCAGCCAUCUGGCCUAAUACUGACGCUGAGGUACGAAAGCAUGGGGAGCAAACAGGAUUAGAUACCCUGGUAGUCCAUGCCGUAAACGAUGUCUACUAGCCGUUGGGGCCUUUGAGGCUUUAGUGGCGCAGCUAACGCGAUAAGUAGACCGCCUGGGGAGUACGGUCGCAAGACUAAAACUCAAAUGAAUUGACGGGGGCCCGCACAAGCGGUGGAGCAUGUGGUUUAAUUCGAUGCAACGCGAAGAACCUUACCUGGCCUUGACAUACUAGAAACUUUCCAGAGAUGGAUUGGUGCCUUCGGGAAUCUAGAUACAGGUGCU